CAGCGUGUGGGGAGGCCCAAAGGAGAAAAGGGGCCCUGUUGUUUUGCCACCAUCUCACUUGUCUGGGUUUCUCAUCCAAUCAGGGGCUCUUGAAGGGGAACAUGUGUCUUGUUCAUCUCUGUCUGCUGUGCCCAGCACCCAACUGGGGCCUCAUGGAGGGGGACAGUAUCUUUCUGUCUGCUGAGUGCAGCAUCUGGCUGGGGGCUCGUGGAGGGGAUCUCUGUGUCUGCUGUGCCCAGCACAGUCACUCUGUGAGCUCUGUGACCUCGGGCUCAUCACAGACAUCCUUGAGCUACUGAUCACUGGAUUAGGAUCAGGAACAACUAACCUACCUCUUUCCUCUGGCCUCUAACAUGGAGAUCACCUCAUAGCCCAAGAUAACUGCUGGAGCACCAACCAUCAUAUCUUCAUCCCAGGUGGAAUGCAGGAGAAAGAAGAAAUGGGUAAAAAGAGCUUUCAUCAGUCGUGUCCUCAUUGAGCUUUUCACAAGGCACCCUCAUCAAUGUCUCCCAUGUCUCAUUGAUUAGAACACAGUCACAUGCCACAUCUGGCUGCAGGGGAGACUGGGAAAUAGAGUCUUCGGCCAGACACACUUUUGCCCAGAAUAAAAGCAAGGUUUCACUGGAAGGGAAGGAGGGAGAAACAGCAUGGCGGCCGCAGUCUCUGGUACAGCGUCUCUUACUGUUCUCUUCUCCACUUCCCAAUCUCCCACACCCCUCUGUGUUGUAUACAACGAAAUUCAGAGUCCUUGAUAUGACCUUCAGGCCCUUGGCUCUGACCUCCACUGCCCGAGCCAACAUCCCCCAGGCUUCCCUCUCCUUUAUGCUUGUAUUCAGCCCAGACAUGAUUCCCCCUGGGUGAAAGCCGCAUAGAGUCACUCCGCGUCUCCUCUGCCAAGACGUUCGGAAGGAAUAGUUGCUGUGGUGCUUUCCAGAGCCGUGCGUGAUCCUGGGAGUUACUAGCAACACUUAGAAACCAGUUUUGUUCAUUGCAGUGCAGUUGCCACCAAGGGCCUCCUCCUGCAGAGCCAGGCAGCGCCGAGUGGUUGUGGCAGGCCUCGCUAAGCCACGAUCCCUGGCAGGGAGGAGCUGCUGGCUGCACGGUCCCGGGUCAGAGAACCGAAGCAAGAGUCUUGUAAGACCAAAGGCUUCUUCGACUGCCCACACAUCUGCCAUUCACCUGGAGUUCAAAAGUGGGGGUGAUGGUCAAGGAGAUGGAUAUUGUGCCCUUAAUUUGAACUGAAAGAUGAAGACACCCUUUCCUUUUGGGGAAAAGGUGUCUGAUCGGCUUAUUGGAGCAACAAUGAGGGCUGGCUGGCUUUGCCAACUGCUUAUAUGGUGGAUAUUUCCCAUAAAUCAGAUGAAUUGAGUCUAUAGCUCCAAAGUUUUGUCAAAAAUAUGGCCGGGCAUGGUGCCUCAUGCCUGUAAUCUCAACACUUUGGGAGGCUGAGGUGGACGGAUCAACUGAAGUCAAGAGUUCAAGACCAGCCUGGCAUGAUGGCACAUGCCUAUAAUCCCAGCUACUCAGGAGGCUGAGGCAGGAGAAUCGCCUGAACCCAGGAGGAAGAGGUUACAGCGAGCCAAGAUUGCGCCACUGCACUCCAGCCUGGGUGACAAAGCAAGACUCUCUCUCUCUCUCUCUCUCUGUGUGUGUGUGUGUGUGUGUGUGUGUGUGUGUGUGUGUAUGAAUCAUAUGACAAGAGCUUUUAACAAUAGUUUGGGGGAAAGGUGUAUUGAAAUUAACAGCAUUAAAUUUUUCCAAUUC
This is a long non-coding RNA of Callithrix jacchus (white-tufted-ear marmoset), 1764 nucleotides long. RefSeq lists it as uncharacterized. Lineage: Eukaryota; Metazoa; Chordata; Mammalia; Primates; Cebidae. The record is from RefSeq and is a predicted model, not a curated record.